Molecule: ribosomal RNA, 620 nt
Filed under: bacterium
Lineage: Bacteria
Also listed under: 1 other name
Description: bacterial SSU rRNA
Rfam family: Bacterial small subunit ribosomal RNA
Source: RNAcentral
AGAGCUUGCUCUUAUGAAGUUAGCGGCGGACGGGUGAGUAACACGUGGGUAACCUGCCCAUAAGACUGGGAUAACUCCGGGAAACCGGGGCUAAUACCGGAUAACAUUUUGAACUGCAUGGUUCGAAAUUGAAAGGCGGCUUCGGCUGUCACUUAUGGAUGGACCCGCGUCGCAUUAGCUAGUUGGUGAGGUAACGGCUCACCAAGGCAACGAUGCGUAGCCGACCUGAGAGGGUGAUCGGCCACACUGGGACUGAGACACGGCCCAGACUCCUACGGGAGGCAGCAGUAGGGAAUCUUCCGCAAUGGACGAAAGUCUGACGGAGCAACGCCGCGUGAGUGAUGAAGGCUUUCGGGUCGUAAAACUCUGUUGUUAGGGAAGAACAAGUGCUAGUUGAAUAAGCUGGCACCUUGACGGUACCUAACCAGAAAGCCACGGCUAACUACGUGCCAGCAGCCGCGGUAAUACGUAGGUGGCAAGCGUUAUCCGGAAUUAUUGGGCGUAAAGCGCGCGCAGGUGGUUUCUUAAGUCUGAUGUGAAAGCCCACGGCUCAACCGUGGAGGGUCAUUGGAAACUGGGAGACUUGAGUGCAGAAGAGGAAAGUGGAAUUCCAUGUGUAG